Molecule: long non-coding RNA, 423 nt
Filed under: Carica papaya (papaya)
Lineage: Eukaryota; Viridiplantae; Streptophyta; Magnoliopsida; Brassicales; Caricaceae
Description: long non-coding RNA (CPAP_LNC010949)
Source: RNAcentral
GAAGUCUGCACGUGCGCGCAACCUUCAGGCCUCAUGAGUUCGCAGCAAGCGUGGGUUUCUCCUCAACUGGGCCAGCAGCUAUUGCUGGGCUGUGUGUUCAACCCAGUUUCUUCUCCCUCAGGUACGGAUAUGCUAGAUCGGGCCAUGGAAUGUGGGCCGAUCUUCGGGUCUUCCCAAUGGGCCUUGGUCAGCCAUCUGCAAGGGCAUGCGGCAUGGGCUACAUAUUUUUCUCGAGCGCACGGCUUGCUAGGCUGCGGGUUAGGCCUAGCAGGCCGAUGGCGGGCCGGGGGACUCGGGUCGCUCGCCCGUAAGUACCUCCUCUCUUUGUGUUGUGUCAGACACACUAUAUUCAUCUUCUAGGAUCAAUAUAAAAGCCCACAACUCAUAAUCAUUGAUGCCUCCUUGUGUCGGUCGUCUCAGUGG